AGGAAAGCAGGGGAUCGCAAGACCUUGCGCUUUUGGAGCGGCCGAUGUCUGAUUAGCUAGUUGGUGAGGUAAAGGCUUACCAAGGCUUCGAUCAGUAGCUGGUCUGAGAGGACGACCAGCCACACUGGGACCGAGACACGGCCCAGACUCCUACGGGAGGCAGCAGUGGGGAAUUUUGGACAAUGGGGGCAACCCUGAUCCAGCCAUGCCGCGUGAGUGAAGAAGGCCUUCGGGUUGUAAAGCUCUUUCAGCCGGAACGAAAAGGUUACGGUUAAUACCCGUGACUAAUGACGGUACCGGAAGAAGAAGCACCGGCUAACUACGUGCCAGCAGCCGCGGUAAUACGUAGGGUGCGAGCGUUAAUCGGAAUUACUGGGCGUAAAGCGUGCGCAGGCGGUUUUGUAAGUCAGAUGUGACAUCCCCGGGCUUAACCUGAGAACUGCGUUUGAAACUACAAGGCU
This 461-nucleotide ribosomal RNA is filed under the name uncultured beta proteobacterium. RNAcentral describes it as "bacterial SSU rRNA". It matches the Rfam family "Bacterial small subunit ribosomal RNA", at positions 200 to 642 of the family's 1533-position model. The record is from RNAcentral. Lineage: Bacteria; Pseudomonadati; Pseudomonadota; Betaproteobacteria.